This 1233-nucleotide long non-coding RNA is filed under the name Brassica rapa (field mustard). Its description in RNAcentral is "long non-coding RNA (BRAP_LNC002008)". Lineage: Eukaryota; Viridiplantae; Streptophyta; Magnoliopsida; Brassicales; Brassicaceae. The record is from RNAcentral.
GAGUAUUUUGAUUAGUAUACAAGAAAACUAUACAAGUACUUUCGUUCUUUUUUUCUUGCUGGCAGCAACUAUACACAAGUACUUACGUACUUUAAAUGUUACUAUUUUAGUAAUAACAAUAAUUCAACUAGAGCAAUGCCAAUGACGAAAUCUAUAAGCACAUCACAUCUGAAGCUUUUCAACCAUUUGAGUUCAAAAUUCAUCUUAAGACAGGCAUAUAUAAACUCCUCAAGAUAUUCGAAGUUGCAUUUUCAAUUUUCAUCCACAGUUUAUCUGCUUCUUCCAAAAACCUUUGAGGACAUGAAUACUGAAUACACAUAAACAUUGACUCAUAAAGAUUGUAGAAUCAUUUUCUGUGGGUAAACAACAAAAAGAAAGAGAUGCCACACGAUUAACCUUUAUUCUUUAUGUUUUUUUAUUUCAUAUUCUGAAGCUUGAGAGUUUUGUAGCACAUCUUGAUCAGAGGAUACCUUAUAAAAUUUAUAAAAGGUCCAAGGAACAAGUCAACAACACAUAUAUUCUAAUAUAUAAUAAAACACACAUAUAUUCUAAAAUGUAAUAAAACACACAUAUUCCAAAAUGUUAUUCCUUAUCCAGACAGCAGCACAGAGAUUAUAUACCUCAAAAUCUUCAAAUCGAGUCUUGGACGUGUUGAAUUGAUGUUUCUCCUUUCCAAAAUCCCUGAACAAAAACCUUAAGAUUAUGCUUUGAUUCCUUCUUAUCAAGAAACAUUUAUAAAUUUCAUAAAAUCAAAUGCUCUAAUAACACAACAGCCUUAAGCAACCAUAUUCCAAAUUAAUUAUCUCCAAAGAAGCAAAUGGAUUAAACCCUUCUCUCGUCGAAGUUAUAAAUUACAACUCAUGAUCAGAAAAAAAAUAGAAUAGUACUCAGAACUUACUCUAGAGUAUAGAGAGAUGUGUCUAGAGCGCUUUAGGACGGCCAACUUGAGAUGAUUGUGAUACCAAAAAGAACAUUAUGGUAUGUAACUAAAGUGACCAAUCUGAUCCAAAUAACAAAGAAAUCUGGUCCAGAUAACAAAGAAAUGUACAGUUUUAAAACGGGUCUGUGUUCUAUUUAAAAGGCCCAAUCUGGUCCAAAAGAAACAUAUGAUAAAAGUUACAAAACUAUAUUGACCAAUCAAAACUCCCAUUAUAUUCCACAAUGUUAAUGUUAUGAAGUACUAUCAAGUAUUGGCUCCACUUAUAGUUAAAAAUGAAACACAAUGAUAAAAAA